Octopus sinensis (East Asian common octopus) is the source of this 1275-nucleotide long non-coding RNA. RefSeq lists it as uncharacterized. The transcript has 3 exons. The record is from RefSeq and is a predicted model, not a curated record. Lineage: Eukaryota; Metazoa; Mollusca; Cephalopoda; Octopoda; Octopodidae.
UUUCCCUCAGAGUAAAUCGUCGAAUGUGUAGUAGAGACAGUUGGAGAGUUUUUGACAAGUUUGCCCAAUCAUGACUAACCAGAUGUUAAACAACAACUACAGGUCUAUGAUCAAAGACAUUCCAGCGAUGACCACCCUGACUACAUUAUCCAAUGUGUUCUUCCUAGUUAUUGUUGUUUAACACAAGAUGGAUAAAAGAAGUUGAAACCGCCGGGAUUUGAACUCCAUAAAAUAUACACAAGUAAUACCACAAUGCCUUUUACGCCAAGGGACUUCAUCGUCACAGCAAUUCAUACUACUUUCUAUGGUAAUGACAAUGUUUUUCUAAGACUGAAAGAUACACUUCUUUUUAGGAAGGACAGUGUAUAACUGAUGCAAGCAGUCUCUAAAUAUUACUGAAAUAAGGCCAGUUGUGAGAGAACAUACAAAAAUAGCUCAUUUUUUUGCUUGCGAAGAAAACUUACCUUACUUUGGCAAGAAACUGGACGAUGAAGACAAAGUCGGGGCAUCCCCAUAUAGUGUGUAAAACAUGUUGAAACACUUAAGCAGAAAGUUCCCAGCUUCUUCUUAUGAAAAAACAUAAGGCUGGAGUGUUUGACGGGCGACAGACCAGGUAACUAUUGCACAACGUGUAGUUUUUGGAUACCAUGUCUGGCAUUGAAAAUGUUUUUGCUGCAGCUGUGUCUGAUUUCCUGGGAAACAGGAAGUCAUCAAAUUAUGGACUUAUGCAGACCCUGUUAACCAGUUUUCGAAGACUGAGCUACAUUAUGAGUGUAAAAGUACGUUUCCUGUCCUGUUAUCUGGACUACUUGCCUGAAAAUCAUAGUACAAUGAAUGAUGAACGAUGAGAAAGACUCCACGAAGACAUCGAGACAGAUGGAAGGCAAGCAUGAUGGCUGACUAUUAUUGGUCUUUGCAAAGAUACUGUUAUUUACGUAAAGCAGCAGAGAGAAAGUUCACUCCAGUUAAAGAGAAAUAUCUAUAGAUGUGUAACGAAACAUUUUGUGUAAUAUAUUUGUAAACAAAUAAAAAAUGCUAUUUGGCUUGUGUUAGUUUCUUAUUCCAGUAUUGUAUUUAAUGGUAAAAUUAACAUUUUUGGGUAAAAAAAAAAAUCACUUAACGUGAUAAUAAGGUUUUGAGGCUAUUUCUGAACCCAGCACCAUCAAAUUAGGUAGGACUAAUUGUAAAAAGCAAGACAACUAAAUUUUUUUUCGAAAAUGUUUCCUAGUGUUAUCAAUAAAAUAAUGAAAGCAGAUGACCAGCUCUAUUACUUUC